AACGAACGCUGGCGGCAGGCUUAACACAUGCAAGUCGAGCGCCCCGCAAGGGGAGCGGCAGACGGGUGAGUAACGCGUGGGAACAUACCCUUUGGUUCGGAAUAACUCAGGGAAACUUGAGCUAAUACCGGAUACGUCCGUAAGGAGAAAGAUUUAUCGCCAAAGGAUUGGCCCGCGUCCGAUUAGCUAGUUGGUGAGGUAACGGCUCACCAAGGCUACGAUCGGUAGCUGGUCUGAGAGGAUGAUCAGCCACAUUGGGACUGAGACACGGCCCAAACUCCUACGGGAGGCAGCAGUGGGAAUAUUGGACAAUGGGCGCAAGCCUGAUCCAGCCAUGCCGCGUGAGUGACGAAGGCCUUAGGGUUGUAAAGCUCUUUUGUCCGGGAAGAUAAUGACUGUACCGGAAGAAUAAGCCCCGGCUAACUUCGCGCCAGCAGCCGCGGUAAU
RNAcentral lists this ribosomal RNA (447 nucleotides) under uncultured bacterium. RNAcentral describes it as "bacterial SSU rRNA". It matches the Rfam family "Bacterial small subunit ribosomal RNA", at positions 29 to 524 of the family's 1533-position model. The record is from RNAcentral.